AUUGAACGCUGGCGGCAGGCCUAACACAUGCAAGUCGAACGGUAGCACAGAGAGCUUGCUCUCGGGUGACGAGUGGCGGACGGGUGAGUAAUGUCUGGGAAACUGCCUGAUGGAGGGGGAUAACUACUGGAAACGGUAGCUAAUACCGCAUAACGUCGCAAGACCAAAGAGGGGGACCUUCGGGCCUCUUGCCAUCAGAUGUGCCCAGAUGGGAUUAGCUAGUAGGUGGGGUAACGGCUCACCUAGGCGACGAUCCCUAGCUGGUCUGAGAGGAUGACCAGCCACACUGGAACUGAGACACGGUCCAGACUCCUACGGGAGGCAGCAGUGGGGAAUAUUGCACAAUGGGCGCAAGCCUGAUGCAGCCAUGCCGCGUGUAUGAAGAAGGCCUUCGGGUUGUAAAGUACUUUCAGCGGGGAGGAAGGCGUUAAGGUUAAUAACCUUGGCGAUUGACGUUACCCGCAGAAGAAGCACCGGCUAACUCCGUGCCAGCAGCCGCGGUAAUACGGAGGGUGCAAGCGUUAAUCGGAAUUACUGGGCGUAAAGCGCACGCAGGCGGUCUGUCAAGUCGGAUGUGAAAUCCCCGGGCUCAACCUGGGAAC
RNAcentral lists this ribosomal RNA (602 nucleotides) under uncultured bacterium. Its description in RNAcentral is "bacterial SSU rRNA". It matches the Rfam family "Bacterial small subunit ribosomal RNA", at positions 28 to 621 of the family's 1533-position model. The record is from RNAcentral.